This 433-nucleotide ribosomal RNA is filed under the name uncultured bacterium. RNAcentral describes it as "partial 16S ribosomal RNA". It matches the Rfam family "Bacterial small subunit ribosomal RNA", at positions 29 to 507 of the family's 1533-position model. The record is from RNAcentral.
AACGAACGCUGGCGGCAUGCCUAACACAUGCAAGUCGAACGAGACCUUCGGGUCUAGUGGCGCACGGGUGCGUAACGCGUGGGAAUCUACCCUCAGGUUCGGAAUAACUCAGAGAAAUUUGAGCUAAUACCGGAUGAUGACGUAAGUCCAAAGAUUUAUCGCCUGAGGAUGAGCCCGCGUAGGAUUAGGUAGUUGGUGAGGUAAAGGCUCACCAAGCCGACGAUCCUUAGCUGGUCUGAGAGGAUGAUCAGCCACACUGGGACUGAGACACGGCCCAGACUCCUACGGGAGGCAGCAGUGGGGAAUAUUGGACGAUGGGCGAAAGCCUGAUCAAGCAAUGCCGCGUGAGUGAUGAAGGCCUUAGGGUUGUAAAGCUCUUUUACCCGGGAUGAGAAUGACAGUACCGGGAGAAUAAGCGCCGGCUAACUCCGUG